UAGUCAUAUGCUUGUCUCAAAGAUUAACCCAUGCAUGUGGAAGCAUAAGCUUCGUAUCCGCAAAGCUGCGAAUGGCUCAUUAAAUCUGCGCUAAUCUGUCCAGGAGUCACUUAGAUGGAUAAUUGUGCUAAUUGUGCAACUAAUACGUGCUGAAUCCUAUGUUUAAUAGGGCACUUAUUAGAUUCAGAACCAUCCCGCGCUAGCGGAAUCCAUUUGGACGUUGACAAUAAGGUUGCAUACCGUGAUUUUUUCACUGGUAUCUUGGGUGAAGCGCAGCCCUAUCAGUUGCGGACGGUAAGGUCUUGGCUUACCGUGGCAUUUACGGGUGACGGGGAAUUUGGGUUCGAUUCCGGAGAGGGAGCCUGAAAAACGGCUACCACAUCUAAGGAUGGCAGCAGGCGCGCAAAUUACCCAAUCUUAACCGAAGGAGGUAGUGACGAGCAAUAACAGCGUGCGACUUUUGUUGCACGACUGGAAUGAAACGAGCUUAAAACACUUGUUUAGAAUCAAUU
This 512-nucleotide ribosomal RNA is filed under the name uncultured eukaryote. RNAcentral's name for it is "bacterial SSU rRNA". It matches the Rfam family "Eukaryotic small subunit ribosomal RNA", at positions 21 to 549 of the family's 1831-position model. The record is from RNAcentral.